This is a long non-coding RNA of Syngnathus acus (greater pipefish), 126 nucleotides long. RefSeq lists it as uncharacterized. The record is from RefSeq and is a predicted model, not a curated record. The transcript has 3 exons. NCBI's taxonomy places the organism in Eukaryota, Metazoa, Chordata, Actinopteri, Syngnathiformes, Syngnathidae.
CGGUGUUCAGCUGAAGCUGGUUGAGCUCACACCAGCUGACAAAGUCCUUGAUGACCGUCCUGUAUUCCAGAUCGUUCCCCUCAGAAACAUAUCCAACAAUUGCUGUGUCAUCUGAGAACUUUAAAA